AUUCUGCAAUGAUGAAGGGGGAUGAUUGAAAAGAGCUGGACUAAAUUGGUCUAACUAGGACACUUGAAGGCUUGUGAAUCAGUUCACACGAUCAGUGUGAAAAGCGGGUAUGAAGACCCAGAUGCUGGUGUGUACGUGUGCAUAUAAGCCCCAACAGCUAGAAAUCAAGCCUUUCUGGCUUCCGAUUGUUGGAGAAGUGGAAACAGUUAAUGGAGUAUGCAAUGAGAUCCCUGGGUCCAGAAAGUGCUCUUCUUGG
This 256-nucleotide long non-coding RNA is filed under the name Homo sapiens (human). RNAcentral describes it as "non-protein coding LINC01625:6". The record is from RNAcentral. Lineage: Eukaryota; Metazoa; Chordata; Mammalia; Primates; Hominidae.